UACAGAGGUCUCAAGCGUUGUUCGGAUUCAUUGGGCGUAAAGGGUGUGUAGGUGGCGCGCUAAGUCGGGUGUGAAAUUUCGGAGCUUAACUCCGAAACUGCAUUCGAUACUGGCGUGCUUGAGGACUGGAGAGGAGAGUGGAAUUCCUGGUGUAGCGGUGAAAUGCGUAGAGAUCAGGAGGAACACCCGUGGCGAAGGCGGCUCUCUGGUCGACAUCUGACGCUGAGACGCGAAAGCGUGGGGAGCGAACGGG
This 253-nucleotide ribosomal RNA is filed under the name uncultured bacterium. RNAcentral describes it as "partial 16S ribosomal RNA". It matches the Rfam family "Bacterial small subunit ribosomal RNA", at positions 524 to 776 of the family's 1533-position model. The record is from RNAcentral.